ACUCCUACGGGAGGCAGCAGGCGCGAAAAUUGCCCAAUCCUGAUUCAGGGAGGCAGUGACAAGAAAUAACAACUCUCGACUAUGUUGAGAAGUGUAAUGAGGAUAAUUUACAAACCUUACCGAAAGCAAUUGGAGGGCAAGUCUGGUGCCAGCAGCCGCGGUAAU
RNAcentral lists this ribosomal RNA (165 nucleotides) under uncultured bacterium. RNAcentral's name for it is "partial 16S ribosomal RNA". It matches the Rfam family "Eukaryotic small subunit ribosomal RNA", at positions 412 to 583 of the family's 1831-position model. The record is from RNAcentral.